CGCUCGUAGUCGGAAUUUGGCGGGCGACGCAGGGCAUCUUUGCGGAUNNNNNNGUAUCGGCCGCCUUUGUGGAUGGGGGCUUAGUGGUGCUUUAUUGUGUUGCUAAGUCGCUGCCACCGUUUACUGUGAAAAAAUUGGAGUGUUCAAAGCAGGCGUUUGCCUUGUACACAUUAGCAUGGAAUAAUAGAAUAGGACCUGGUUCUGUUUUGUUGGUUUGUGAGAAUUAGGUAAUGAUUAAGAGGGACGGUUGGGGGCAUUUGUAUUCUGCCGUCAGAGGUGAAAUUCUUAGAUUGGCGGAAGACAAACAGCUGCGAAAGCGUCUGCCAAGGACGUUUUCAUUGAUCAAGAACGAAAGUAAGGGGAUCGAAGACGAUCAGAUACCGUCGUAGUCUUUACUAUAAACGAUGAGGACUGGGGAUCGGGCGGCGCUGCUUUAUGGCCCGCCCGGCACCCUUCGGGAAACCAAAGUGUUUGCUUUCUGGGGGGAGUAUGGUCGCAAGGCUGAAACUUAAAGGAAUGA
RNAcentral lists this ribosomal RNA (520 nucleotides) under Gelidium sp. RNAcentral's name for it is "SSU rRNA". It matches the Rfam family "Eukaryotic small subunit ribosomal RNA", at positions 625 to 1156 of the family's 1831-position model. Lineage: Eukaryota; Rhodophyta; Florideophyceae; Gelidiales; Gelidiaceae. The record is from RNAcentral.